This 497-nucleotide ribosomal RNA is filed under the name uncultured bacterium. Its description in RNAcentral is "partial 16S ribosomal RNA". It matches the Rfam family "Bacterial small subunit ribosomal RNA", at positions 28 to 507 of the family's 1533-position model. The record is from RNAcentral.
GAUGAACGCUGGCGGCGUGCCUAAUACAUGCCAGUCGAGCGAACAGACGAGGAGCUUGCUCCUCUGACGUUAGCGGCGGACGGGUGAGUAACACGUGGAUAACCUACCUAUAAGACUGGGAUAACUUCGGGAAACCGGAGCUACUACCGGAUAAUAUAUUGAACCGCAUGGUUCAAUAGUGAAAGACGGUUUUGCUGUCACUUAUAGAUGGAUCCGCGCCGCAUUAGCUAGUUGGUAAGGUAACGGCUUACCAAGGCAACGAUGCGUAGCCGACCUGAGAGGGUGAUCAGCCACACUGGAACUGAGACACGGUCCAGACUCCUACGGGAGGCAGCAGUAGGGAAUCUUCCGCAAUGGGCGAAAGCCUGACGGAGCAACGCCGCGUGAGUGAUGAAGGUCUUCGGAUCGUAAAACUCUGUUAUUAGGGAAGAACAAAUGUGUAAGUAACUAUGCACGUCUUGACGGUACCUAAUCAGAAAGCCACGGCUAACUACGUG